Molecule: transfer RNA, 68 nt
Filed under: Catopuma badia (bay cat)
Lineage: Eukaryota; Metazoa; Chordata; Mammalia; Carnivora; Felidae
Description: tRNA-Thr
Source: RNAcentral
GUCUUUGUAGUAUAUAAAAUACUUUGGUCUUGUAAACCAAAAAAGGAGAACACAUCCUCCCUAAGACU